This 174-nucleotide ribosomal RNA is filed under the name uncultured Rhodoferax sp. RNAcentral's name for it is "partial 16S ribosomal RNA". It matches the Rfam family "Bacterial small subunit ribosomal RNA", at positions 1209 to 1382 of the family's 1533-position model. The record is from RNAcentral. Lineage: Bacteria; Pseudomonadati; Pseudomonadota; Betaproteobacteria; Burkholderiales; Comamonadaceae.
UGGGGCUACACACGUCAUACAAUGGCUGGUACAAAGGGUUGCCAACCCGCGAGGGGGAGCCAAUCCCAUAAAGCCAGUCGUAGUCCGGAUCGUAGUCUGCAACUCGACUACGUGAAGUCGGAAUCGCUAGUAAUCGUGGAUCAGAAUGUCACGGUGAAUACGUUCCCGGGUCUU